UAUAAUUUCUAUUCCCUUCAGUAGACUCCAGGUGGGUGAAGUACUUUUUUAUAUAUCUUCUUUGCCCUAGACCCUACACAGUGCAGACAGUGGGUGCUCAGUGCACACUGAAGCGGGUGGGCGCUCGGGAGAACCCUAACAGGUCAAUCUGAAGCGACCAUGUCCUUUCUGGGCAGAAGAUGGCCAUUGUUCAAUAAAAGACUGCCAUGUGGAGCCCUGUCCAGAGAUAUUAUCCCACAAAUGCCUAUGGACAUCUGGAGUAAGUCCGUGCUAGGUCAUCUGUAUUGUACAGACAAGAUGCAGACCACCCCUGACAGGGAUAAUGUCUUAUCCAGGGACAAAAACAGGUAAGAUUGGAGAUCUGUUCCUGAAGACAAGUGUGCUUCCAAGCUGGGGCCCUGGUUGCUCCCAGGCCUUCCUUAGGGGCCUGUGUAGAGGGGUGUGUUGGUGUCACUGUGUACAGAUGUGGCCUUGCAUGCAAAAUGGGGAUGAGCAGACGGCAACCCUGAGCACUGUUUGUGUAGGUGUCAAUCCACCAGUGGACUUGGGUAGGUGAUCUCAGGCAGUGGAGUUACUUCCUUGACUGCAGACCCCAACAGAUUUGGGACCCCUGCAAACAGGCUUCCACAUUCUAGUGUAGUCUAGCACCACGGUUACUUGGCUGGAGACAUCCAAUAUUGAAAGGUGUUCUUCUGCUGUUUGCCUACUUCCCAGGACUCUGGCUCCCAGAAAACUCAGGGGAAUGACUUUUUCACAUGCUGCAUAUAUUGGCUCAAACCUCAUGGGCAAAGCCUCAGGGCAUUUGGCAGGAGGUCCGAUAAGGUAAUACAGAACAGCUUAUGCCAGGCCAAGCCACACUUCUGAGCCAUCCCAGGGCAGCCUCGUCCUCUCCUCUGGAAUUUCUGGCAAAGAGGGAUAUGUGGGGUUCCUGCCACUGGGAUAAAGGAGGUUGCAAGAUAAUGGAUACCAUGGUGAUACCUUUAUGUUCACACCAAUGUCAUGGUGGGCAGGGUGGAAAGGAUUCCUGAGGUGCAUCUUACCUCUCUCAGAGCUCAUCCAAGGCCCUGAAGCUGUGUCACAUUUCUCUCCUUGGUGGAGCUGUGUGCAUACUGGGGUUUGGUGUGUGUGGAAUGGAGUGCCCUGGGUCUGAGGACCUGCAAAGGCAGCCAGAUAGGGCUCUGAGGCCUCUUUCCUUGUUGCUGAGCACUGUCUUUACAGAGCUCCACACAGGAGAUCGGGCAGGAGCUGAAUGUUGAGAUCCUCUGCUCUACCUCCUUGAAGGAAAAAAGGUGCCCCAAAAUGCCAACAGAGUCCAGUGCUGGCUCAGGGUAAGUGCAGGUGCUGGGGACAUCCAUCCCCCAGUGUCCCAGUGGAGCAGAAAGGGACCCAUGUCCCAGAAGCCAGCCUAGUACUGCCGUGGGCUUCCUCCCACAGUUCUGAACCCACAUGAAUCUGCAUUAAGAUCUCCUUUUCAUACCUGCCCUCACUGCCCCCCCUACUUUGGCCUGAUGUAGAGUCAUUGUCCACAUAUUUGUAACAAUACCAGAAAAGAGACUUUAAACUAUGUCUCAUGUCAUUCAUCUAGAAUCCUUGUGCUCCCAGGUGUCCCCACGGACCUGACAGUCCUCCCCAAGUUCUGCAAGUCUUGUACAUGAUCAUGGUGAGUUGGGAGACUUUUACCCAAAGGGACAUGUUGCCAGUGGUACUAUGUCCCUUGCUCUGCCUUUUGGUUUUGAGGAAACACAUCCCUGGGGACCCUCCAGGGUCAGGAUCAGGAUCAGGGACUUCAUUGUGCUGCACAACAUUCCAGAAGGCCAGUCAUUUGUCACAGUCACUGAGCCCUUCAAUGAUGCAGGAUAUUGAUGUGAUUCUUUUUUGUUGCUAAGUCAUAGGGCUACACUAAACAUCCUACAUGUCAUAAUAUCCUGAGCUGUCUCACUUAAGAAAAUGUCUCUGUGUUCUCCUUUCAAGAAUGGAAUCUGUUAUCAGAAACCACAGGAUCGAUGCCGUUCAUGCAGGGGGUUGCUAUCAAUACUCAGUUCACAAAAUGACCUGAGAUACUAUCAAGGUCAGACUUCCUGGACUUCAAUUCUUUGCCAAAUCGGAUCACUGAUGAGGAGGAGUGAGACCUGUGUGCUAUGGACAAGCCGGGCCAACCUGCUAAAGAAGCAAACAAAACAUCUGGUGCCUAAUUUCCUAGGAAGAGUCCUCAGCUAUGCCUACAUGUUCCUGGGCACAUAACGAGCCAUUGCCACUACCCAAGAGGUGUUGGACCUGCAAAUACCAGGAGGUGUUUGCAAGGUGAGCACCCUCUCCCUAACGGCCCAGUUGGAUUUGGCCACCAAUUGCUGUGAGUCAUGGAAAUGUCCCCAAACUUCCUGAGCCUCAGUUUGAUCCUCUGACUGGGCCAGAGUUAUAUUAGGGACUCACGAAGUCUUGAAAGGAAAGUUCACCUGGGUACCUGGGCCUGUGCAAAGUGUGCUAGAGAGCCUGUGGUUUUACUCAUUUAUCAUUGUCCUGCUUGCCAUGAUGAAGCCUCUGCCUCAUCCCUCACUAUCACUAUGAUCUUGAGUUGGGCUGUUUUGCCAUUUGAAAGAGUGAUCCGAGACUCCAUUUGGGGUCUGUAUCUGGCGAUCCCUGGGGUUCAGAGGUGUUCCAAGCCCCACUCAGAUACCUGUGACGGGCUGGUUGGGGCCCUUUCAUUCAGCAAGUAUUCGGGAAGCCCCACUAGGUGCGGGUGCUUCUCUAGGACUUGACUGCGAUCCCUGUGCAGAGCAGACGGCAGCCCUGGUCUCUAGAGUAGUCAGGAGUCAGACAGUGAUAUUGGGCACAAUGAGAGGUAGCAUCCACAGGACAUUUCAUGUGAUGCCCUCUGGCCUCCUCUAGAUAUGGGUGCAUUUCCUCCAGCUGUGAUGAAGUGGUCAUAGGCCAGGAGCAGUGAAACAUGAGUGAUCUUCAGCUGAUGCAGGAGGGCCUUCCCUCUCCACCAGAGUAGCACGGGGUCUGUGAGUUGGAGGGAUUCUUGGAUCCUCAUCACACACAUCUGUGAUUCCUCCUUAAGUGUAAAGGUCUGAGAGUUUCUUCUGGAGAAAGGAAGGGGCUCAGGGGAACUGUGGGUGUGGGUACUGUGGGAGAGCAGAGGAGAAGGGAGGACAGCUUUAGCCCCUUAAAGAGUCAUUCCCCAUCACUGCACCCCCCCACCUGUGUCUCUAUCCCAAUCCUGGGACCUAGAAGAGAGUCUGUGGAACCAGCACACUCAGCAAUAUGUUGGAACCUGGUCACUGGGUGCUCAGAGGGUACUCAGGAGACCCAGUGAGAGGAUAGGCACCAGAUAUUUCAAACCCUGUGGGAGAUUAGUGACAGUGGAAGGAGACCCACUCAUGGCAUCGAGUGAAUAAGGAGGCACAUGGGCACAGGAGGUAACUUUUGAAGCAUUGGGAAGGCCUGGCUAGAGACAAAAUCCCCUUGCUCCCUCCUUGGUUGGAUCUUCAGAAAGCAGUGGCAUGUGCAAUCAGGGUAAUUAAGAGGCCAGAUGCCACCCCUCCCUGGGCACAUGCAGUUUAGUUCAUGUGGCAAGUGCACAAGGAGACAGACUGAGGAGUGUGUCCAGAUCUGCCAUGAAGGACAGAAAUGGUCCCACCAUUCAUCAAGAUCUCCCACUCACUGAGGCUCUUGCCAGCCUGUUGUCUGUGACAAGGCCUAUCUCAGGCAGGAUUGCAAGAUCACAUUUGGACAAGGAAUAGGACUGGACUCUGAUGGAAGUUGGAUGCCCAAUGACCCAGGUUCACAUAGGGUUCCCUAGGAUAUUUAUUUGGGAGGGUGCCCUGUCCUCUGAUUCCUCUUCCUAACUGUCUAUCCCCAGGGCAUCUCCUCCAUCUUGAACACAUGGCUAGAAAAAUAUUCUGAACAUUGUUACAGCCCCCAGAAUUUCCCAGCCUCAAUAUGCUGCUGGCAUACAUGGGGCUCAGGAUGCCAGGCUCAGACCAGGAGCACCGUGCCCAGCUUCUGCUCACACAGUUGCAACACCUUGAGCCCACGGAGCCAGAAGCUGUGGGUGAGAAGGACUGGUGGUGACUGAUGUGGCCUGAGGAGGGUACAGGGUUGGCCACACCGAGCAAGCCUCCAUAGAGUGCAGUCGGGUGGAGAGCAGUAAAUAGUCUCAGAUCCCGGCCCCGGUGGUCUUCAGUCAUGGAGACUUCACAGGGAUUGGUUCUUGGAUGCAGGCAACAUUGAGUGGUGGGGAAAGUUUCCUUUAUUUAGAAGGGACAUGGAAUUCAAUCAUGCUGAUGGUAUUUUUUCUUCAUGGAGAUACAGCACCAUGCCCAGAGCAACAUCCUACAUCAGGAACUCACCCCAACUCACACUCUGGCAUCCAUUGUAUCUUUGGAGACAAAGGUGGCCCUGACCCUCCCUGGUGCUGGAGCUCUCACGUUAAGAAGAGUGGUGACUCCAUCUGCCCUAUUGGGACCAGUGCGGGUGGUAGUCAGGGCUCUAAUUCACUCUUCUGAGAUGGAAGAGCCACCAGCUCUUUUUCCUGACCUGGAGGUCCAGCAGGGUCUAGCCCCUGCUAUUGAGGUCGAGAAGGGCUUGAGCCAGCCCCUGUCUCAGUGGAACCACCACGCUCAGCCCCCAAGCAGCAGCUCUUUCUGGCUGGAACCCUAAGGAUGGUUUCCCCUCCUCUGUCAGUGCUCUCUUUGUAAUUCUUGUGUUUUGGAUACACUUGUAAUGGCUUAAUGGAUUUUGUUCAUUAAAUAAAGUAGAAUUUGAGUUUA
Molecule: long non-coding RNA, 4772 nt
Organism: Neogale vison (American mink)
Lineage: Eukaryota; Metazoa; Chordata; Mammalia; Carnivora; Mustelidae
Exons: 4
Source: RefSeq, a predicted model, not a curated record